CAUUGCUUUGUCGAUUUGAUUUCUAGUUGUCCCUUUGUCCCUUGUGUUAUUCAAAGUUCAUAUUGACAUUGUUUUGGUUAGUUUGACGCGUUGGCGUGUGAGUGGCUAUAUGAGUGUAUGUGUUGGCUGGCUCCCUGGUUAUGCAGCAACUGGUCGGCAUAUACAUAUUUCACUUGAGACGGUGUUGUGAAUGUUGGAUUUUUGUGUUGCCAACCAGUUGAUGGAAUUCCCAUGUCCCUGACGCGUAAGUUUGCCGAACAUCCCUUGAGGUGCUAGGCGAACGUAGAAGCUACUCCUUUUAUGCCAUGCGCUCCCUUUCUCGGGAACCAUGGAAAAUUGGCGGUGUUGCUUGUUGCCUCGGAUGUAGAGCAUGUAGCGAGCAUGUUGCCCGUACUCAUUGCUCAUUAAGAGCUCUCGGUUGCUCGGAAAGAGAGACCGCCGCGCUCGGUUAUGGCUGUCGACUUGUCGAUCUAGCUAGUAACUUUGCCGACGUGAACAAUGAAUGCUACCUGGUGAUCCACCGAGAGCAA
RNAcentral lists this unclassified non-coding RNA (530 nucleotides) under Villadia aristata. Its description in RNAcentral is "partial contains external transcribed spacer and 18S ribosomal RNA". The record is from RNAcentral. Lineage: Eukaryota; Viridiplantae; Streptophyta; Magnoliopsida; Saxifragales; Crassulaceae.